This 118-nucleotide ribosomal RNA is filed under the name Brugia malayi. The record is from RNAcentral. Lineage: Eukaryota; Metazoa; Nematoda; Chromadorea; Rhabditida; Onchocercidae.
AUUUGUGACAAUGCCACGUUGAAAGCACGACAUCUCGUCGGGUCUGUCAAGUUAAGCACGUUGGGCCUGGUUAGUACUUGGAUCGGAGACCGCCUGGGAAUCCCAGGUGUUGUAGACA